Alligator mississippiensis (American alligator) is the source of this 827-nucleotide long non-coding RNA. RefSeq lists it as uncharacterized. The record is from RefSeq and is a predicted model, not a curated record. NCBI's taxonomy places the organism in Eukaryota, Metazoa, Chordata, Crocodylia, Alligatoridae. The transcript is spliced from 3 exons.
AACAAGUCCAAGCAGGUACAAUUAUCCAAUGCGUAAAUCCGCUUUCUGUCCAGAGCCUCCAUCGUAAGAGCAAAGACUGAUCCUUAGACUUAACGUUACUGGAAAGCCCCUCUUCUGCUGUUCCUCACAUGCCAUACCCAGGAGUGAAGCCAUUUCCCAGGUUGGGACAUAUGACAUAAGAAGAGUUUGCUGCUAAGUUUGCACUAUCCAGGACCAGCCAGGCUGCUGGAAGAGAUUUUUCUCAGUCCUCUGUUGCUGAAAGGUCUCUUGCUGGUGGAUUUGCUGCCUGUGAUGCAAGUAAGACUGAACUUCAGAGCACCGGAGAAAGGAAGCUAUCACAGCACUGGUUUGAAGGGGAGAGCUCACUUAUACCGGUAAAAGUGUAAUGUCUGUACCUGGCCUGACUGUGUUUGUGUGCUGCUGCCGUUGUUGGGACAGCGCUUUGACCAAAGCCAGCCUGAGGCAACACCUGCAUCAACAGCUCACUACAGUGAAUGCAGGAAACGGUGACGGAGGACACCGAAAAGGGUCUGUCAAGUGAGGAAACACUCUACAGGAAUCUUCAGGACACGAUCGGUCCUAAUGAUUGCCCACGUCGGUGAUUUGAUAUGGCGGUGGUGCGCAGAAGUCCUAUUCAAGGAGGAUCUCCUGUCUUAGGUAUGGUACAAACACAAAGCAGGAAGGGCACUUCUAGCACAGAAAAGCCAAUCUACCUUGGUUUCAAAACCAUGCUUGUACUGUCUGAAAAACCUGUAAGAACAGCUCUAGGAAAGGGAUCUUUUUGCACCAGAUCUCUCACUGAUCUAUUAGCAACCACCUCCGCCCCC